CGCCUCCUCCCUCCCACGCAGCCGCCUCCCUCCCUCACUCGCUCCUCAUCCGGCGACGGCGGCGGCGGCUCCCACGCCCGCGUUCUUCCUCCCCCAACACGACCCCGCUCGGCCCCGCACGCCUAGGCGGCUUCCACCAACCACGGCGACGGCGCAGCGGCCACGGAGGAGGGCGGCGGAUCAGCGGCGCCGGCGAUGGCGUCCGUGGCAGCGGUGGAGGGCGCGGCCCGAGCCCGCCAUCGCUGCUCUGCCCUCCCUCUCUCCGAACCGACCCGCCACCCUCCUCUGCAUCUUCGCCACCGGCCAUGUCCGCCCCCACCAGCAGCUUGGCCCGGCACCGAGCGACGCCGGUCGGGACGAGCGGCGGCCGUGGCGACGAACGCUGCUGCUCUUCCGCUUCCUCGAACUCCAAGAUGCGGGACACGGAUCCGUGGUCGCCUUCUUCCGCAAACAGCCGCGGUGCCCGCUGUCGGCGUCAGACUUCCAAGCAAGUGAGGAUGACCACGAUGCGGAGGAGGACGAAGACCCGAGCUCGAGCCCGACCACGACGCACCGCACAAGGUCCCUGCUUCCUUCCUGACGGCAAUGGAUCCCUUCCUUGCAGUUGCCUGGGUUGCUGACGAGAUCCAUCUGCCCGGCUGGAGCAUGCUAUUCACUUGAUGGAAGCCAGCCCAAUUGUAGAGUGGGAAGGGAAUUGGUUGGAGCACCGCAGCCUCUUGCGCCAUGGACAGUCACAUGUUGCUCCACUUCAAGAGAUCGUCCAAUGUGGCCGUGGAGAUCCUGUCACCCCACGAGAGCUCUCUGCUGUUAUAUCGCGGAAGUUCCGUUUCAUGGUCUCCAUAUCAAGCAAGUGUUUCACGAGUGAUGAUGAUGACCUGUCAUUCCAAGUACUUAGGAUUGACACACCUCUUGGAAAGCUGCCACGGUCUUCUGUGGUGUAUGGGGCUUAAAGUGUUACGACUGGAUCAACUAGCUCAAGCUCCUUGCCCAAUGACACUUCUCCUGCUCCAAGGGUGCUAGGUACGCCAUCCAGAAAUAUGGCGUCGAGCAGCUCCACUCCCCUGCCUUUAAUCACCAUGACCCCUGAGGUCCAUUCCUUUUUUUCUAACAAGUGCUCUUCUAGGUUGAUUACUUGCCCUGUUUCUGUGAUUUUUCCUAUUAUUUAAUCCUGAUUGUUAUCUAAUUAGAGUCAUGCUCUUCUACCUACUUUAUCUUCGCCUCCUUCCAUCAGGAAGCCAUCUGUGACUGGGUCCACCGCACAACUCCACUCAACUUGACAUUCGUAUAAGUUAUUGACGCACCAUUGUAUUUCAUAUGUGUUUCCUCUUUCCUUAACAGCGGCGUGGCCUCUGAAAUUAAAUCAAAGUUUCAGCGGGUUCUUUUUAAAGACAAUGAAGCUGUCUCAAAUGUCAACCCAGUAUCUGAUCUAAUCGACGAUGAGCUUGUUGAUGCAGAUGGCGAGGGCUUGGUUACUUCCAGAUCAUCUGUGUUUUGAAGCAUACACUUUCUGUCUAUGCUUACUUAUUUUACGCUUGGUUACUUCCAGAUCAUCUGUCUUUUGAAGCACACACUUUCUGUCUAUGCUUACUUAUUUUACGCGUGUUUCCUCCCAGUCUGGUGAAACACUAGGUUCAGUUAAUGAGUCUAUUGCUGGAAAGGAGAAGACACCACAACUUAGCACUGACAUUCAGAAAGAUAACUUAACAUUGCCUGGUGUCAGACGUCAGAUGCAAAUAGCACUCGACAUUUCUUUACUUAUACCCAGGUGCUUUGCUUGCAUUGCAAAACUGCUACAUUCAGCGUGGCAUUUUCAGUUCUGAACCAUCCAUGCCUACUGAUGCUCGAAGCAAUCCGAGCAAGCGGGUCAGGAAGAAGUAGAAACAUAGCAUGGGAGGCGAGGCGUCUUUUGGAGAUCCAAGACUCUUGGUUGACGUUGCUGUAAAUGGAUGAUUUCUUAUCAAUAUGCCUGUACGAGCGAGUCCCUUGCUUGAGCUUCGCUCGCAGGCACUUACCACCACAUCACUUGGUUGCUUAUGGGCAACAAUGGCUGCUAUCAGUCAUGUUGCUGUCCAUUUGGACUACCAGGCUACUUGGAUAUAAACCGUCCUUUUGUCAGAUUCAGAUGAUUUAGAUUCAUUUUUUCUUGUCUCAUUUCUUGGUUAAAAUAUGUAUACUAUUCUGUGUUGAGUCCUUGUCCAUUACAUGUGUUCAGGGUACGGGAUCGAUAUCCUGGACUCGGUGCCCCGGAGUGAAAUGGGAAGUCGAAUGGCUUGGCAUGCACACCCUACGAAGCGCUUUUCGCCGUCUUGUUUCUGUUUCGGCCACGGCGAUAUCUGUUUGUAGAGGCUAACAAGUACUUCAUGCCUGGGAUGCUUCCUUUGUAAAUAUAUGGGCGAUUGAUACACUCUCUUCACAUGGUCACUCUCCUGCUUUGUAAUCUUUGAACCUCAUCAGUGUCAGUAUCGUAAUUCGAAAUCUGAUAUAUAUGGAUUGCAUUCGUCGGCUCC
Molecule: long non-coding RNA, 2507 nt
Organism: Aegilops tauschii subsp. strangulata
Lineage: Eukaryota; Viridiplantae; Streptophyta; Magnoliopsida; Poales; Poaceae
Source: RefSeq, a predicted model, not a curated record